Molecule: transfer RNA, 74 nt
Filed under: Phycisphaeraceae bacterium
Lineage: Bacteria; Pseudomonadati; Planctomycetota; Phycisphaerae; Phycisphaerales; Phycisphaeraceae
Also listed under: 4 other names
Description: tRNA-His
Rfam family: tRNA
About the family: Transfer RNA (tRNA) molecules are approximately 80 nucleotides in length. Their secondary structure includes four short double-helical elements and three loops (D, anti-codon, and T loops).
Source: RNAcentral
GUGGCCAUAGCUCAGUUGGUUAGAGCACGAGGUUGUGAUCCUCGGGGUCGCGGGUUCGAGUCCCGUUGGCCACC